ACUCCAUGAAGUCGGAAUCGCUAGUAAUCGCGAAUCAGAAUGUCGCGGUGAAUACGUUCCCGGGCCUUGUACACACCGCCCGUCACACCAUGGGAGUGGAUUGCACCAGAAGUGGUUAGUCUAACCUUCGGGAGGACGAUCACCACGGUGUGAUUCAUGACUGGGGUGAAGUCGUAACAAGGUAGCCGUAGGGGAACCUGCGGCUGGAUCACCUCCUUAAA
RNAcentral lists this ribosomal RNA (221 nucleotides) under Bacteroidota bacterium. RNAcentral describes it as "Bacteroidetes bacterium partial 16S ribosomal RNA". It matches the Rfam family "Bacterial small subunit ribosomal RNA", at positions 1315 to 1533 of the family's 1533-position model. The record is from RNAcentral. Lineage: Bacteria; Pseudomonadati; Bacteroidota.